GACGAACGCUGGCGGCGUGCCUAAUACAUGCAAGUAGAACGCUGAAGGAGGAGCUUGCUUCUCUGGAUGAGUUGCGAACGGGUGAGUAACGCGUAGGUAACCUGCCUGGUAGCGGGGGAUAACUAUUGGAAACGAUAGCUAAUACCGCAUAAGAGUAGAUGUUGCAUGACAUUUGCUUAAAAGGUGCAAUUGCAUCACUACCAGAUGGACCUGCGUUGUAUUAGCUAGUUGGUGAGGUAACGGCUCACCAAGGCAACGAUACAUAGCCGACCUGAGAGGGUGAUCGGCCACACUGGGACUGAGACACGGCCCAGACUCCUACGGGAGGCAGCAGUAGGGAAUCUUCGGCAAUGGACGGAAGUCUGACCGAGCAACGCCGCGUGAGUGAAGAAGGUUUUCGGAUCGUAAAGCUCUGUUGUAAGAGAAGAACGAGUGUGAGAGUGGAAAGUUCACACUGUGACGGUAUCUUACCAGAAAGAGACGGCUAACUACGUGCCAGCAGCCGCGGUAAUACGUAGGUCCCGAGCGUUGUCCGGAUUUAUUGGGCGUAAAGCGAGCGCAGGCGGUUAGAUAAGUCUGAAGUUAAAGGCUGUGGCUUAACCAUAGUACGCUUUGGAAACUGUUUAACUUGAGUGCAAGAGGGGAGAGUGGAAUUCCAUGUGUAGCGGUGAAAUGCGUAGAUAUAUGGAGGAACACCGGUGGCGAAAGCGGCUCUCUGGCUUGUAACUGACGCUGAGGCUCGAAAGCGUGGGGAGCAAACAGG
This 763-nucleotide ribosomal RNA is filed under the name uncultured Streptococcus sp. RNAcentral's name for it is "bacterial SSU rRNA". It matches the Rfam family "Bacterial small subunit ribosomal RNA", at positions 28 to 776 of the family's 1533-position model. The record is from RNAcentral. Lineage: Bacteria; Bacillati; Bacillota; Bacilli; Lactobacillales; Streptococcaceae.